GGGGGGGGGGUUAGGGAGAGCGAGGAGGUUUUUAGAGAAUGAUGGAGGGAGGACUGGGAGAAUGAUGGAGGGAGGACUAGGAGAAUGAUGGAGGGAGGACUAGGAGAAUGAUGGAGGGAGGACUAGGAGGAUGAUGGAGGGAGGACUAGGAGAAUGAUGGAGGGAGGACUAGGAGAAUGAUGGAGGGAGGACUAAUAGAAUGAUGGAGGGAGGACUAGGAGAAUGAUGGAGGGAGGACUAGGAGAUUGAUGGAGGGAGGACUAGGAGAAUGAUGGAGGGAGAACUAGGAGAAUGAUGGAGGGACUAGGAGAAUGAUGGAGGGAGGACUAGGAGAAUGAUGGAGGGAGGACUAGGAGAAUGAUGGAGGGAGGACUAGGAGAAUGAUGGAUGGAGGACUAGAGGAUGAUGGAGGGAGGACUAGGAGAAUAAUGGAGGGAGGACUAGGAGAAUGAUGGAGGGAGAACUAGGAGAAUGAUGGAGGGAGGACUAGGAGAAUGAUGGAGGGAGAACUAGGAGAAUGAUGGAGGGAGAACUAGGAGAAUGAUGGAGGGAGGACUAGGAGAAUGAUGGAGGGAGGACUAGGAGAAUGAUGGAGGGAGGAAUAGGAGAAUGAUGGAGGGAGGACUAGGAGAAUGAUGGAGGGAGGACUAGGAGAAUGAUGGAGGGAGGACUAGGAGAAUGAUGGAGGGAGGACUAGGAGAAUGAUGGAGGGAGGACUAGGAGAAUGAUGGAGGGAGAACUAGGAGAAUGAUGGAGGGAGGACUAGGAGAAUGAUGGAGGGAGGAAUAGGAGAAUGAUGGAGGGAGGACUAGGAGAAUGAUGGAGGGAGGACUAGGAGAAUGAUGGAGGGAGGACUAGGAGAAUGAUGGAGGGAUGACUAGGAGAAUGAUGGAGGGAGAACUAGGUGAUGGAGGGAGGACUAGGUGAAUGAUGGAGGGAGGACUAGGAGAAUGAUGGAGGGAGAACUAGGAGAAUGAUGGAGGGAGGACUAGGAGAAUGAUGGAGGGAGGACUAGGAGAAUGAUGGAGGGAGGACUAGGAGAAUGAUGGAGGGAGGACUAGGAGAAUGAUGGAGGGAGAACUAGGAGAAUGAUGGAGGGAGGACUAGGAGAAUGAUGGAGGGAGAACUAGGAGGAUGAUGGAGGGAGAACUAGGAGAAUGAUGGAGGGAGGACUAGGAGAAUGAUGGAGGGUUGACUAUGAGAAUCAUGGAGGGAGGACUAGAAGAAUGAUGGAGGGAGGACUAGGAGAAUGAUGGAGGGAGGACUAGGAGAAUGAUGGAGGGAGGACUAGGAGAAUGAUGGAGGGAGGACUAGGAGAAUGAUGGAGGGAGGACUAGGAGAAUGAUGGAUGGAGGACUAGGAGAAUGAUGGAGGGAGGACUAGGAGAAUGAUGGAGGGAGGACUAGGAGAAUGAUGGAUGGAGGACUAGGAGAAUGAUGGAGGGAGGACUAGGAGAAUGAUGGAGGGAGGACUAGGAGAAUGAUGGAGGGAGAACUAGGAGAAUGAUGGAGGGAG
Molecule: long non-coding RNA, 1515 nt
Organism: Oncorhynchus tshawytscha (Chinook salmon)
Lineage: Eukaryota; Metazoa; Chordata; Actinopteri; Salmoniformes; Salmonidae
Source: Ensembl